Molecule: small RNA, 881 nt
Filed under: Pan troglodytes (chimpanzee)
Lineage: Eukaryota; Metazoa; Chordata; Mammalia; Primates; Hominidae
Description: retained intron
Source: RNAcentral
AAAAAAGUUAUAAAAAAAAUGGGAACAUUCUCUGGCCAGAGUAUUGUGGGGACUUGGGAAGCAGGAAGUUUGAGUCCUGGGCGCAGGCCCUGGAGGGGCUGUAGCAGGGGAUUUCCCGCGUGCUGAGGCCAGGUCUGGUGCGGGAGAUCGUGGCUGCCUCCUUGUGGAAGCCAGGGGAACUGCGGAGGCCGAGGGCUGGUGGGGAAUCUGGCGGGCCGGGCUCUGGCUGGGGUGAGAUGGAGGCCAACCCCAGGUCCCGCCUCCCCAGACGCUGAGUCCCCGCGAGCUCUGGCACCUGGUGCAUCAGUGCUACGGCUCAGAGCUGGGCCUCACCAGUGAGGAUGAGGACUAUGUCUCCCCCUUGCAGCUGAACGGUCUGGGGUGAGUUGGAGGUCAAAGGAGGUUGAAGGGUUCGGGGGAGAACAGGACGGUCGGCGUGCAGAGUUCCUGGAGUGCUGGGGGGCCUGAGAUGGUUGUAUGACGUCUGGAGGAUUCAGGAGGGUGUAUGGGGUCUCAAGGACACAGCAGUCCCGCUUCCUCCCCUUUCCCACAGGACCCCCAAGGAAGUGGGAGAUGUGAUCGCCCUGAGCGACAUCACCUCCUCGGGGGCAGCUGACCGCAGCCAGGAGCCAAGCCCAGUGGGUUUGCGCCGUGGCCGUGUCACGCCCAACCUUUCCCGAGCCAGCAGCGACGCAGACCAUGGGGCAGAGGAGGACAAGGAGGAGCAGGUAGACAGCCAGCCAGACGCCUCCUCCAGCCAGACAGUGACCCCGGUGGCUGAACCCCCGAGCACAGAGCCCACCCAGCCUGACGGGCCCACCACCCUGGGCCCCUUGGAUCUGCUGCCCAGUGAGGAGCUAUUGACAGACACAAGUAACUCC